CAUGCAAGUCGAACGGUAACAUUUCUAGCUUGCUAGAAGAUGACGAGUGGCGGACGGGUGAGUAAUGCUUGGGAACUUGCCUUUGCGAGGGGGAUAACAGUUGGAAACGACUGCUAAUACCGCAUAAUGUCUUCGGACCAAACGGGGCUUAGGCUCCGGCGCAAAGAGAGGCCCAAGUGAGAUUAGCUAGUUGGUAAGGUAACGGCUUACCAAGGCGACGAUCUCUAGCUGUUCUGAGAGGAAGAUCAGCCACACUGGGACUGAGACACGGCCCAGACUCCUACGGGAGGCAGCAGUGGGGAAUAUUGCACAAUGGGGGAAACCCUGAUGCAGCCAUGCCGCGUGUGUGAAGAAGGCCUUCGGGUUGUAAAGCACUUUCAGUUGUGAGGAAAAGUUAGUAGUUAAUACCUGCUAGCCGUGACGUUAACAACAGAAGAAGCACCGGCUAACUCCGUGCCAGCAGCCGCGGUAAUACGGAGGGUGCGAGCGUUAAUCGGAAUUACUGGGCGUAAAGCGCACGCAGGCGGUUUGUUAAGCUAGAUGUGAAAGCCCCGGGCUCAACCUGGGAUGGUCAUUUAGAACUGGCAGACUAGAGUCUUGGAGAGGGGAGUGGAAUUCCAGGUGUAGCGGUGAAAUGCGUAGAUAUCUGGAGGAACAUCAGUGGCGAAGGCGACUCCCUGGCCAAAGACUGACGCUCAUGUGCGAAAGUGUGGGUAGCGAACAGGAUUAGAUACCCUGGUAGUCCACACCGUAAACGCUGUCUACUAGCUGUGUGUGUCUUUAAGACGUGCGUAGCGAAGCUAACGCGCUAAGUAGACCGCCUGGGGAGUACGGCCGCAAGGUUAAAACUCAAAUGAAUUGACGGGGGCCCGCACAAGCGGUGAGCAUGUGGUUUAAUUCGAUGCAACGCGAAGAACCUUACCUACACUUGACAUGCUGAGAAGUUACUAGGAGAUAGUUUCGUGCCUUCGGGAACUCAGACACAGGUGCUGCAUGGCUGUCGUCAGCUCGUGCCGUGGAGAUGUUGGGUAAGUCCCGGCAACGGAGCGCACCCUGGUCUUAGUGGCAGCCUUAAGUUGGCACUCUAGGAAACUGCGGUGACAACCGGAAGAGGGUGGGGACGACGUCAGUCAUCAUGGCCUACCGUUAGGCUACACUUGCUACAAUGGCAUACGAGAAGCGAACAGUGAUGUGGAACGGACCUUUAAAAAGUGCGUACUCCCGAUUUAGGC
Molecule: ribosomal RNA, 1232 nt
Filed under: uncultured Gammaproteobacteria bacterium
Lineage: Bacteria; Pseudomonadati; Pseudomonadota; Gammaproteobacteria
Description: bacterial SSU rRNA
Rfam family: Bacterial small subunit ribosomal RNA
Source: RNAcentral